RNA transcript from Salvia splendens (bonfire salvia), 2519 nucleotides. It is a transcript of the gene named protein MAIN-LIKE 2, with no coding region annotated. NCBI's taxonomy places the organism in Eukaryota, Viridiplantae, Streptophyta, Magnoliopsida, Lamiales, Lamiaceae. The record is from RefSeq and is a predicted model, not a curated record. The transcript is spliced from 8 exons.
GCCAAUCCGUCAAUCCCUCUUCUGUCUACAGAGACCACACUCUCCUCUGUGUGCGUCUCUUGUUGUCGUUGUCUUUCGUAAAAUCUGCACUCCUCUUUCCUAUCUCAAUUUGAUUUAGCACUGCCUCCUUAAUUUCCGAAAUUGCUGCAAUUCGACCGCUGUUAUGGAAGGUUUCCAAUAGGAAAAAGGACUCACAGAAAUAAUCAAUCAAUAUGAAGUCUGAAGAUUAUUAUUCGGCCCCCAAUGUAACUACUUAUAACAACGUGAUGGAUUAUUAUUCAACCAACCCUGGACCAAUUGAUGAUUCCAUUCUAAAAGAUCAAGAUAAGCAUGUUUCAGCUGCAGUUUGGGAGGGACAGGAGAGAGGUGCACUUCGAUGCCAUGAGCAUACUUCAAAGCUUGAUCGUUGGCUACUUACUGAGAGUCAAAUUGAAUUAGUUAAGAGGGCUGGAUUUGGCUAUUUGAGAUUAAUCCCCGCAAUUAGUCUUGAUAAUCCACUCAUAUCUGCUCUAGUGGAGAGAUGGAGGAAAGAAACUAAUACAUUUCAUAUGACUGUCGGAGAAAUGACCAUAACACUCGAAGAUGUUGCUUACUUGCUUGGACUUCGAAUCAAUGGUGAACCUGUAAUAGGUGUAACGUACACCACCUGUGAUUCAGUAUGUAUCAAAUAUCUGGGUAAAGCACCAGAUUCAGGGUACACGAGUGGUGGGAUGGUGAAGCUGAGCUGGCUGAAAGAAGCUUUCUCCGUAUGUCCCGAGGAUGCUUCCAUUGAAGACGUCGAGCGCCACACUCGUGCCUACCUUCUAUACCUUGUUGGUAGCACGAUUUUUUCAACCACGACCGGUAAUAAAGUGCCAGUUAUGUAUCUCCCGUUAUUUGAGAAUUUUGAUGAAGCUGGGAAGUAUGCAUGGGGUGCAGCAGCAUUGUCCUUCUUAUACAGGGCACUCGGUAAUGCCUCCCUUAGAUCGCAAAGCACUAUUAGUGGCUGUUUGACGCUGCUACAGUGCUGGAGUUACUAUCGCCUGAAUGUUGGUCGGCCUAAACUUCAUCACAAUCCUAUCCAUGAAUGUUUUCCUUUUGUACUUAGGUGGAAAGGGAAACAAAACGGUCCAACCUCAAAUCGUGACGUGGUCUUCUACCGUAAAGCUUUGGAUUCUCUAAAAGCUACCGAUGUUGAUUGGUGUCCGUAUGCAAAUAUCAGCCAUACUAUUAUACCCGAGAGCAUCUUAAACCAACUCAUUCUCGGAAGAUCCAAGACAAUGUUGAUCUGCUUCGACAAGGCCGAAAGACACCUUCCAGAUCGUUGCCUGAGGCAGUUUGGCAUACAUCAAAUGGUCCCGGAAGAAGUGCAGCAUUGGGAAAGGAAGACCCGUGGUGUUGAUGGCGGGGUAGAUCUAUCUGGGAAAAUGGAGGCAGAGAUAAAUGAGUGGGAAAAUCGUCGUUUCCAUAUUGUGGAGGCUGAGGAAGGCAUCGAUGAGGGCCAAUACGUGAACUGGUACUCAAGAAUCACGCGGAGGCUGGUAGGAAGGCCUAUACCUAUCUCAUCAGAGUUUCAGAGAAUGAAUGCUGCACUGAGGGACAUUGCACAUGUAGCAGAUACCCUCUCGACGCACGGAAUGGACGACCUACAAAUACAGGCUGUUACGAGAAUCAGGUACAUCGCACACGAAUGCCUGAGGGAUCAUGCUGGAACGUCAACCGUGUCCUUGGACAACUCAGAGAGUGAGGCUGUCAAGAAGAUCAGAGGAAAGGAAAGGGUAAGAAGAAGGGGUACAAGUAAACGCAGACGAAAAGAUGAUCCUGAGGAAUUCUAUGCGUCAGGCAUGCAUAUCCAAGUAUAUAACGUUCCCAAUGAGGUUGAUCACGAACAACAUCUGUGCCUCACACGGAAUCCUGGUCAUGGGGUGAUGGAAAACAAUGGCACUACUGAAGCUGACCAGCACGAAGUCGAAGAAGUUGAUGAAGACCACCUUUCUCAUGGAUCGGAGGAAAAUCCAUGCGAGUCCCUUACUAAUGUUGGUGUUGUAGAGCAGGCCUCGCUGGGAACUAGUGAGGACGUGACCCACCAGAACGAUUUCAGUGUCACAGCGUAGUUGGUUGAACGAAGUUAAAUCCAUGUCUUUUGAGGAAAUUUCAAACGGUGGCAUGUGGGCCGACAAUCGGUGUGGAGUUUAGCUUCCGACUUGGUCGGAGAUGACAAGCUCACACGGGGAGAGAUCAACCUCACACAACCAACCUUCAUUAUGCUGCUUGCAAGGCCAACCUUGUUGGUACGAAGACGAGAAGGCAAAAGUGUGGUAGUCUACGCACUGACUUUGCGUAGCAUGCCGCUUCAGGUAGCCGUGCACAAUCCGAACCGGCCCGGCGGUUCGAACCGUCCGGCGGGUUGCCGGUUCCAACGGGCCGGUUCAGGGUCGAAGGAUUUGUGAACCGUGAAUUGGCGGUUUGCCGGUUUGAACCGGCAGUUCAACGGUUCAAACGGCAAUUUCCGGCAUAGGGUUGUAGGGUUUCAGGCUACG